Molecule: transfer RNA, 73 nt
Organism: Spizellomyces punctatus DAOM BR117
Lineage: Eukaryota; Fungi; Chytridiomycota; Chytridiomycetes; Spizellomycetales; Spizellomycetaceae
Rfam family: tRNA
About the family: Transfer RNA (tRNA) molecules are approximately 80 nucleotides in length. Their secondary structure includes four short double-helical elements and three loops (D, anti-codon, and T loops). Further hydrogen bonds mediate the characteristic L-shaped molecular structure. tRNAs have two regions of fundamental functional importance: the anti-codon, which is responsible for specific mRNA codon recognition, and the 3' end, to which the tRNAs corresponding amino acid is attached (by aminoacyl-tRNA synthetases). tRNAs cope with the degeneracy of the genetic code in two manners: having more than one tRNA (with a specific anti-codon) for a particular amino acid; and 'wobble' base-pairing, i.e. permitting non-standard base-pairing at the 3rd anti-codon position.
Source: Rfam
GCUCGCGUAGUCUAGUGGUUAUGACGUCUGCUUUACACGCAGAAGGUCCUCGGUUCAACCCCGAGCGUGAGCA